GUUACGCUGGCGGCGUGCCUAACACAUGCAAGUCGAACGGUUCUAAGCGCGAGCUUAGGAUAGUGGCGAACGGGUGAGUAAAAGGUAGGAAUCUACCCCUUGGACGGAGAUAGCUACUGGAAACGGUAGGUAAACUUCGAUAAGCCCGAGAGGGGAAAGUGGUGAGACAGCCGAGGGAUGAGCCUACUCUCCAUCAGGUAGUUGGUGAGAUAAAAGCUUACCAAGCCGAUGACGGAUAACCGGUGUGAGAGCAUGAACGGUCACAAGGGCACUGAGAGACGGGCCCUACUCCUACGGGAGGCAGCAGUGGGGAAUCUUGGACAAUGGGCGAAAGCCUGAUCCAGCGACGCCGCGUGGAGGAAGAAGUCCUUCGGGAUGUAAACUUCUGAACUAGCCGAAUAAAAGGCCUGUGGACACACAGGAGAAGAAAGUAGGCUAGGAAAAGUCCCGGCUAACUACGUG
Molecule: ribosomal RNA, 462 nt
Filed under: uncultured bacterium
Lineage: Bacteria
Description: bacterial SSU rRNA
Rfam family: Bacterial small subunit ribosomal RNA
Source: RNAcentral